RNAcentral lists this ribosomal RNA (1474 nucleotides) under Enterococcus durans. Its description in RNAcentral is "bacterial SSU rRNA". It matches the Rfam family "Bacterial small subunit ribosomal RNA". Lineage: Bacteria; Bacillati; Bacillota; Bacilli; Lactobacillales; Enterococcaceae. The record is from RNAcentral.
GACGAACGCUGGCGGCGUGCCUAAUACAUGCAAGUCGUACGCUUCUUUUUCCACCGGAGCUUGCUCCACCGGAAAAAGAAGAGUGGCGAACGGGUGAGUAACACGUGGGUAACCUGCCCAUCAGAAGGGGAUAACACUUGGAAACAGGUGCUAAUACCGUAUAACAAUCGAAACCGCAUGGUUUUGAUUUGAAAGGCGCUUUCGGGUGUCGCUGAUGGAUGGACCCGCGGUGCAUUAGCUAGUUGGUGAGGUAACGGCUCACCAAGGCUACGAUGCAUAGCCGACCUGAGAGGGUGAUCGGCCACAUUGGGACUGAGACACGGCCCAAACUCCUACGGGAGGCAGCAGUAGGGAAUCUUCGGCAAUGGACGAAAGUCUGACCGAGCAACGCCGCGUGAGUGAAGAAGGUUUUCGGAUCGUAAAACUCUGUUGUUAGAGAAGAACAAGGAUGAGAGUAACUGUUCAUCCCUUGACGGUAUCUAACCAGAAAGCCACGGCUAACUACGUGCCAGCAGCCGCGGUAAUACGUAGGUGGCAAGCGUUGUCCGGAUUUAUUGGGCGUAAAGCGAGCGCAGGCGGUUUCUUAAGUCUGAUGUGAAAGCCCCCGGCUCAACCGGGGAGGGUCAUUGGAAACUGGGAGACUUGAGUGCAGAAGAGGAGAGUGGAAUUCCAUGUGUAGCGGUGAAAUGCGUAGAUAUAUGGAGGAACACCAGUGGCGAAGGCGGCUCUCUGGUCUGUAACUGACGCUGAGGCUCGAAAGCGUGGGGAGCAAACAGGAUUAGAUACCCUGGUAGUCCACGCCGUAAACGAUGAGUGCUAAGUGUUGGAGGGUUUCCGCCCUUCAGUGCUGCAGCUAACGCAUUAAGCACUCCGCCUGGGGAGUACGACCGCAAGGUUGAAACUCAAAGGAAUUGACGGGGGCCCGCACAAGCGGUGGAGCAUGUGGUUUAAUUCGAAGCAACGCGAAGAACCUUACCAGGUCUUGACAUCCUUUGACCACUCUAGAGAUAGAGCUUCCCCUUCGGGGGCAAAGUGACAGGUGGUGCAUGGUUGUCGUCAGCUCGUGUCGUGAGAUGUUGGGUUAAGUCCCGCAACGAGCGCAACCCUUAUUGUUAGUUGCCAUCAUUCAGUUGGGCACUCUAGCAAGACUGCCGGUGACAAACCGGAGGAAGGUGGGGAUGACGUCAAAUCAUCAUGCCCCUUAUGACCUGGGCUACACACGUGCUACAAUGGGAAGUACAACGAGUCGCGAAGUCGCGAGGCUAAGCUAAUCUCUUAAAGCUUCUCUCAGUUCGGAUUGUAGGCUGCAACUCGCCUACAUGAAGCCGGAAUCGCUAGUAAUCGCGGAUCAGCACGCCGCGGUGAAUACGUUCCCGGGCCUUGUACACACCGCCCGUCACACCACGAGAGUUUGUAACACCCGAAGUCGGUGAGGUAACCUUUUGGAGCCAGCCGCCUAAGGUGGGAUAGAUGA